Molecule: ribosomal RNA, 467 nt
Filed under: uncultured bacterium
Lineage: Bacteria
Description: bacterial SSU rRNA
Rfam family: Bacterial small subunit ribosomal RNA
Source: RNAcentral
GAUGAACGCUGGCGGCGUGCCUAACACAUGCAAGUCGAGCGAUUCUCUUCGGAGAAGAGCGGCGGACGGGUGAGUAACGCGUGGGUAACCUGCCCUGUACACACGGAUAACAUACCGAAAGGUAUGCUAAUACGAGAUAAUAUGCUUUUAUCGCAUGGUAGAAGUAUCAAAGCUCCGGCGGUACAGGAUGGACCCGCGUCUGAUUAGCUAGUUGGUAAGGUAACGGCUUACCAAGGCGACGAUCAGUAGCCGACCUGAGAGGGUGAUCGGCCACAUUGGAACUGAGACACGGUCCAAACUCCUACGGGAGGCAGCAGUGGGGAAUAUUGCACAAUGGGCGAAAGCCUGAUGCAGCAACGCCGCGUGAGCGAUGAAGGCCUUCGGUCGUAAAGCUCUGUCCUCAAGGAAGAUAAUGACGGUACUUGAGGAGGAAGCCCCGGCUAACUACGUGCCAGCAGCCGCGGUAA